RNAcentral lists this unclassified non-coding RNA (253 nucleotides) under uncultured Oceanospirillales bacterium. RNAcentral describes it as "contains 16S-23S intergenic spacer region". It matches the Rfam family "Bacterial small subunit ribosomal RNA", at positions 524 to 776 of the family's 1533-position model. The record is from RNAcentral. Lineage: Bacteria; Pseudomonadati; Pseudomonadota; Gammaproteobacteria; Oceanospirillales.
UACGGAGGGUGCAAGCGUUAAUCGGAAUUACUGGGCGUAAAGCGCGCGUAGGCGGUUUGUUAAGUUGGAUGUGAAAGCCCAGGGCUUAACCUUGGAAUUGCAUCCAAAACUGGCAGGCUAGAGUACAGUAGAGGGGGGUGGAAUUCCCGGUGUAGCGGUGAAAUGCGUAGAGAUCGGGAGGAACACCAGUGGCGAAGGCGGCCCCCUGGACUGAUACUGACGCUGAGGUGCGAAAGCGUGGGGAGCAAACAGG